UUUUUUUGAUGAACCCCAUGCGUGUCAUCUGAGCCUGGCUCCCUUGUCACAGCCCCAGGUAGUGUUCUUGUCCAUUUCUGAUCUAAAGCGUUGUUCUUUGAAAA
Talpa occidentalis (Iberian mole) is the source of this 104-nucleotide small nucleolar RNA. RefSeq annotates it as small nucleolar RNA SNORD10. NCBI's taxonomy places the organism in Eukaryota, Metazoa, Chordata, Mammalia, Eulipotyphla, Talpidae. The transcript has a single exon. The record is from RefSeq and is a predicted model, not a curated record.